CCAACUUUCUAAGUUUGACCUCGGAUCAGGUAGGGAUACCCGCUGAACUUAAGCAUAUCAA
Molecule: ribosomal RNA, 61 nt
Filed under: fungal endophyte
Lineage: Eukaryota; Fungi
Description: partial 28S ribosomal RNA
Source: RNAcentral